RNAcentral lists this ribosomal RNA (494 nucleotides) under uncultured bacterium. Its description in RNAcentral is "partial 16S ribosomal RNA". It matches the Rfam family "Bacterial small subunit ribosomal RNA", at positions 28 to 507 of the family's 1533-position model. The record is from RNAcentral.
GACGAACGCUGGCGGCGUGCUUAACACAUGCAAGUCGAACGGAAAGGCCUGCUUUCCCUUGUGGAUUGCGGGUACUCGAGUGGCGAACGGGUGAGUAACACGUGAGUGAUCUGCCCCCAACUUGGGUAUAAGCCUGGGAAACUGGGUCUAAUUCCCGAUAGGACUGCAGGGUGGUGCCUGUGGUGGAAAACGAUUUUCUAGUGGUUGGGGAUGAGCUCGCGGCCUAUCAGCUUGUUGGUGGGGUAAUAGCCUACCAAGGCGGCGACGGGUAGCCGGCCUGAGAGGGUGGACGGCCACAUUGGGACUGAGAUACGGCCCAGACUCCUACGGGAGGCAGCAGUGGGGAAUAUUGCACAAUGGGCGGAAGCCUGAUGCAGCGACGCCGCGUGGGGGAUGACGGCCUUCGGGUGGUAAACUCCUUUCGACCGCGAGGAAGCCACCUGGUUGGAAGGGUGGUGACGGUAGUGGUAGAAGAAGCACCGGCUAACUACGUG